AGCUCCAAUAGCGUAUAUUAAUGUUGUUGCAGUUAAAAAGCUCGUAGUUGGAUUUCUGGUGGGAGCGGUUGGUCUGCCCCGCGAGGGGUAGUUACUGAGCCGUAUCCGGCCCUUUUCGGGUUGACCGUGGCUGGCAUUAAUUUGUCGGUGCGGGAGGCCCGUCGUUUACUGUGAACAAAUUAGAGUGUUCAAAGCAGGGUGUUCUUGAAUACAUUAGCAUGGAAUAAUGAGAUAGGACUUUGGUGGUUCUCACUUGAUUGUGGGAUAUUUUGUUGGUUUGCACGCCAAAGUAAUGAUUAAUAGGAGCAGUUGGGGGUAUUCGUAUUCAAUUGUCAGAGGUGAAAUUCUUGGAUUUCUAGAAGACGAACUACUGCGAAAGCAUUUACCAAGGAUGUUUUCA
This 400-nucleotide ribosomal RNA is filed under the name phytoplankton environmental sample. RNAcentral describes it as "partial small subunit ribosomal RNA". It matches the Rfam family "Eukaryotic small subunit ribosomal RNA", at positions 587 to 972 of the family's 1831-position model. The record is from RNAcentral.